ACCACAAACGAUGUGUAAAUGUUAGCAUAGUCAUCAUUAUCGUAACGAUAAGAAAAUUCGGUAAUACUACGUGGAGUAAUAAUGUUGUGUAGGGCUUCAAAUGAACCAGGGCGCUCAGGAAUAGUGACACUCAAGAAUACUUCCUUGUUCAAACCAAGAUCAGCACGCUCAGCAAUAAAUCUAAGGCGAUCAAAGUCCAUAUUGGCACCACUUAAGAUGCAAACCUGAGCAGCAUUGGGAUUUUUAGGCUUGUGUUUAGCGACAUAACGCUUCAUACCAGCAACAGCCAUAGCUCCUGAUGGUUCGACCACUGAACGGGUAUCCAAAAAAACAUCCUUAAUGGCUGCACAAAUCUCAUCUUUGUCAACAAGAACUACAUCGUCAAUAUUCUUGGAGACAAGACGGAAGGUUUCCUCUCCAACAAGUUUCACAGCAGUUCCAUCAGCGAAUAAGCCAACUUCCUUAAGGGUUACCCGCUUUUUGUCCUUCAAAGACUUUUUUAAAGCAUCAGCGUCAAAUGUCUCGACACCAAUGACCUUA
Schizosaccharomyces pombe (fission yeast) is the source of this 540-nucleotide non-coding RNA. NCBI's taxonomy places the organism in Eukaryota, Fungi, Ascomycota, Schizosaccharomycetes, Schizosaccharomycetales, Schizosaccharomycetaceae. The record is from the annotation of a GenBank genome assembly.